This is a long non-coding RNA of Drosophila novamexicana, 1424 nucleotides long. RefSeq lists it as uncharacterized. Lineage: Eukaryota; Metazoa; Arthropoda; Insecta; Diptera; Drosophilidae. The transcript is spliced from 2 exons. The record is from RefSeq and is a predicted model, not a curated record.
GGGAUGAUUUCAGGUAAUGUUUUAAAAAUAAACGACUCAUUGCCGAUACACACCAUUAUCUUGGUACUAGGAAUCUGCUUAAAAUAAUCAUUUCUUUGCCUCAAUUUUGAAUGUGCGAAAAAAAAACAACAAAAAUUAAAAUACUUUCCAUUUUGAGCUCAUAAAUCGUGCGCGUUGUUGGCAUAUGUCGGUGGGCCAGAGGCAGGAAGGCGGUGCAAAGUUUAUUGUUUAUACCAAAAACUGGCAGCUCGAACCGAGAGCAAAGCACAUUAAAUAAACAAAUCAACAGAUGCCAAGUUAAUAAAAACAACUAUUCUACUUAUUCGAGAAGUGUAGAUGCCCUUGCAACUGAUCAAAAAACUAUAUUGUUAUAUGGAAACUGUAAACAGUUUGUGUGUCAAGUGCAAAAAGAACAGUUGCAAAAUUGAAUAUUGUCGCAAUUAACUGAUAACAAAUUUAUAUAAUUGCAGUAUCUGUUUCCACAAACAUGUUAUUAAUAAAGUGAAGAAAUUGGAUCCAAUAUGUUGUUUGCUUAUUAAAAACAAUAAACAAAUUCCGUUUUAUUUUUCAGAGAACAACAAAUACAAUAGAAGCAUUUGUCAAAUACCAGACAGAUCGAAUUGCCUUUUCAAGGGCAGUCAAUUAUUUCCCCGACUGAGCUUAAACUGAGAAUUAUAAAAGAGAACUAUUUAAAUAACGCUUGGAAAAUACAUGUAGCCCUGUGCAACUAUUUACAUAAGUAAUAAAUUGGUAAUAAGCAACAAACAGUGGUUUUCUUAGCCCGUGGAAAGCCGAAUAAUCUCAGCUAGUUUCUCCAUUAAGACUGGGAGUACAAUUCUUGUAGAAAAUUCAUUUCAAAAGGCGAUCGUGCCAGUCAUGGCUGCUGUUCUGAUUUUUAUGUAAAUGUACAUAUGUAUGUACAUAUAUUCUGUUAAGCGAAUGUUAAAGUGUGGGGCGUGCCAUAAUUUCGCAGACAUUGUGCAGCAGAGGGUGGCCCGCUCAGGCCCACCCAAAAGCCAAUUGGCGUAAGUUUGCUUUCAAUAAUCUUUUUAUGGUUGUACACAAAUUGGCUGUGACAGCGGCGGGGGCAGCAGCAACGUGCUCGGCGGCAGCAUUACUGCCAGAUAAGAAUGUCGACGCCGGGCAAUAAAACCACCAAAAAUUAACGGACAAAGCAAAGCGGGCACAAUACACAAGCACACACACACACAUGUUCAUAUGCAUGUACAUAGAUAGCAAUUCGUGCGCAAUAAAAUCAACAACAAAACAAAGGCAAGAGUCGCUAAAGCGAGAGAGCCUCAGUUUGGAGCAGAGCAACGCAGCGCAGAGAACAGAUCCCAAGUGAGAAAUGCGAAUGCGCGUGCGAAUCGCAAACAUGCGCGCGUAACUCCCAAUAAAUCGCUGCUAAAUACGCUGUUCAAGCA